UUGGUAAUGAGCUGGGAAAUUAGUGAGUGCAUGGAACAGUCAAGAAGUUUGGGUGUUGCUUUGAUUACUACUACUGCUAUUGUUGCAAUAUUAGCAGAUGAGAAACCUAAGUCAAGCCAAACAGAAAUUCAAUAUCAAUAUUAUUAUUUUUUUAGAUCUGGGUAAUGAUGUGCACAGUGUGGGACUCUAAAGAGCAGCCCUUGAGCCCAAGCUCCCAUCCUAGAUGUAGCAGCGCUUCACUUAGGCUAAUGGGAACCGCUGCAAUUAAAACAGCAGCAGCCCACUGAAAGAAAACCCAGGCUCGUGGCUAGGCAGCCGUCUUAUAGGAUGAAAACCAGCAGUUUUUCAAAAGAUUGAGGGAUGUGCCUGUCCGACAGCUGUCCGACAGCAAAUCUACAGCAACUUCAGUGGGCUGUGGUUUAUCUUUUUAGCGUGCAUAAACACGGCUCUUUGUGCGUAGCUCUUAAAUGAACUGCUUUUCAGUGUGGUCGGUGUGGUGGCCUUCCCCCCUCACUGACUGCAUCUCUAACAAGGCCUCGCAGCUUUGGGGGAACUUACAGCUUUUCAUGUGCUUUAGGUGCUGGUGGCUGUGUGACCAUCGCCGUAUUCAAAACCCAUGGAUGGAAUCAGUGCCAAAGCUCCAGGAGGGCCUAAAUGAUGCAGGAUUCCCUACGAGUGUAGAUCUUCUCGGCACGGCAGCCAUAACACAGUGCAGAUCGGGGCAGGGGUGACCACAAGAUGCUCAUGACCGUGGGGCCUCAGGCGUGACUGUGACUGCUCAGUGCAAGGAAUGUGUCACUGUUCUGCUGGGCGUACCAGACACUUGUAAGUUCUUUAGAUUAAAACAGGCUGUUGGAAAACUUUCAGGUGUUGAGUUUCUUCGCUCAACUACUUGUAAACCCAUGUUUUUUUAUCACGUUUAACUGGCACAGUGGUCACUUACUUCACUAGGAGAGGAUCUGGGAGGAGCUGGGCUGCACUGAUGUGAUAAAUCCCUUCAUCCAUGGGAACUCCUGAUGGUUUUGACUGUUGCCUUGAACAUCUGCUGUCUUCCCUUUUGCAAAGUCAAUACUCAAAGGGAGCUGCUGCCUUGUGCUCUCUCUCAGGGUUUUGUGUGCUGGAGUAGCUCUUGUUUUCCACAAAUAUGGUCAUUUAAGUAAGGUGUGGUGCUUUAAUCACUGCUAAGUUGUAGAUGUUUAUUUUCUGUUGUUGUUUGUGACAGGUUAUCUGUGAUAAUUUUGUUAAUUGCCACUUGGAAGGAUCCCAAUUUUUUUCUCUGUAUGUAUUCCACACAUAAAAAUGUCACUUAACUUUACACCCAUUUGCAUGAAAUGCUACUGCUGCUUUGUUGGAGGAUUAGCUGGAACUGCUUGACAGGAGAGUGUGUUCCCAUAACGGGUAGUAUUCGUGCCUAUAAAUACAUUUAAACAGCAGAGCUGAGUUACUGGUGGUGGAGAACUAUCUGCAGGAGUCGGCAGGCUGUUCUGAAGCUCGUAGGGUGGAUGUGAGUGACAGCGUAUUCGAGCCCU
Molecule: long non-coding RNA, 1529 nt
Filed under: Anser brachyrhynchus (Pink-footed goose)
Lineage: Eukaryota; Metazoa; Chordata; Aves; Anseriformes; Anatidae
Description: lncRNA (ENSABRG00000006723.1)
Source: RNAcentral